UCCGUAGGUGAACCUGCGGAGGGAUCAUUACUGAGUUACCAAAACUCCAACCCUAUGUGAACCUUACCUCUGUUUCCUCGGCCAACUGCAAAGGCCUGCCCGCGGGGUUUACCCUGCUGGGAAAAGGGCCCGACGACGCUUUCCAACCCUUCGGGGAAGGUUAGCUGAGGGUGCCGCUAAGGCCGGCCGCAGCGCCGUUAAACUGCUCCAAAAUACUUUGUCCAACUCUACCCUAUAGAACUAAUCGUUCGAAUCUCUUAUCUCGAGGCUUUUCUUUUUGCCUUGAGGCUGAGGCUUUUCCUUGCCUUGCCUUUCUUCCAGUUCAAAUGUGUUUCCCGGUUGGAAUUAUCUCUCGAAGUUUACGAUGUUACGACCUUAUGAAAUGCCUUCGCGUGAAAUGCUACCCUGUACUACUUCUCGCUCGAAUGUGUUUCCCGGUUGGAAUUUUCGCUCGAAUAUAAUUCUUUUUCUGUACUAAUACUGUUUUUGUUUCUGCUCGAAAGUCUUUCCCGGUUGGAAUUUUUCGCUCGAGGUUCUAUUUUUUAGAGUCUGAAUUGCAUCAAAACAAAUUUUUGUUAAAAACAACUUAUAUCAAAACUUUCAACAACGGAUCUCUUGGUUCUGGCAUCGAUGAAGAACGCAGCGAAAUGCGAUAAGUAAUGUGAAUUGCAGAAUUCAGUGAAUCAUCGAAUCUUUGAACGCACAUUGCGCCCAUUAGUAUUCUAGUGGGCAUGCCUAUUCGAGCGUCAUUACAACCCUUAAGCCCUGUUGCUUAGCGUUGGGAAUCUACGGCUUAGGCGUAGUUCCUCAAAAUUAGUGGCGGAGUUAUAGCACUCUCAGCGUAGUAAUUUGCCUCGCUUCUGAGCUGCUGUAGCUGCCUGCCGUAAAACCCCUAUACUUCUAGUGGUUGACCUCGGAUUAGGUAGGAAUACCCGCUGAACUUAAGCAUAUCAAUAAGCGGAGGA
This 965-nucleotide ribosomal RNA is filed under the name Hypoxylon sp. CanR-71. Its description in RNAcentral is "eukaryotic LSU rRNA". The stretch from base 596 to 749 matches the Rfam family "5.8S ribosomal RNA". The record is from RNAcentral. Lineage: Eukaryota; Fungi; Ascomycota; Sordariomycetes; Xylariales; Hypoxylaceae.